GUCAGUGCUGAACUGAACACCAGGAUGUGCCAGCUCUGGGGGUUUGGGUGAAACAUCCCAGCAGCUCUUUUUUGGGGGCUGCAGCCCCAGAAUAGCUGAUGUGCUCAUGACCCCUUUUGUCCCCCAUUCCUGUUAAUUCCCAGGACUCCCUCCUUUCCCUGAGCAGUCCCUGGUAUUGCUGGAGGGGCAAAACCAGCAGCUCCAGCUGCUGACACUGGGCUGUAGCUCCACUUAGCUCUGUGAAAGCCGAAAAAGGCAUCAAACGUGCCUGGGUUUAAGCAGAAGUCUAUAAAUUAUUAAUUGCAAGAGGAAACCCCAGCUCGUGCUCAGGGGACGCCCCAGGACAAGAUGAGGUGGGGGACCUGAUCCCAAGCUCAGCUGGAAAUGGAUUUUGGGAAUAUGCAGGUGAAUUAAAUGAGGUGGGCCAGCAGCAUCCUGCUGAUAUUCAUACAGAGCAUUUAGGAUGUUAAAAAAUUGUCUGAGCGCUGAUUACGUCCUCAAACUUUCUGGAUUUCCUUUGGUUUUACGGUUUUUAGGUUUCUUUUUUAUAAUAAAGUUUAAAUUAGAUCAAAAACCACCAGGCCUGUGAAGAUGGUCCCGGGUGGUUUGUGCGCAGCAGAGCUGAGGACUUUGGAGUUGUCAUGCACAGACAUCAGCGACUGCAGAAGGUGGAGCUGAGGCUGUGCCCUCCUGGAUCCAGCCAAGAUGAAGCAGCACAAGGCAGCUCCAAGAUAAUGAUUUAUUUUUGGCCCAAACUCGGAAUACCUCUCAGGACACCUCAGCAAGGAGGGAGCAAAAGAACCAAUGCAUUAACUCUGAGAAGGGGCAGCAGAAGGAAAGCCUGGAGCUGGAACAUCCUUUGA
RNAcentral lists this long non-coding RNA (863 nucleotides) under Cyanistes caeruleus (blue tit). Its description in RNAcentral is "lncRNA (ENSCCEG00000004505.1)". Lineage: Eukaryota; Metazoa; Chordata; Aves; Passeriformes; Paridae. The record is from RNAcentral.